GGAUCAAUGGGUCGGUCGUGCCAAUGGUAUGUACUGGCCUCAUUGGUUCUCACCUUCUAAGGAACCAUGAUGUCAUUUAUUUGAUGUUGUGGGAAAUUAGGACUGUUACCUUGAAAAAAUUAGAGUGUUUAAAGCAGGCAUUCGCUUGAAUACAUUAGCAUGGAAUAAUAAAAUAGGACU
RNAcentral lists this ribosomal RNA (180 nucleotides) under uncultured Glomeromycotina. Its description in RNAcentral is "partial small subunit ribosomal RNA". The stretch from base 47 to 180 matches the Rfam family "Eukaryotic small subunit ribosomal RNA", at positions 693 to 829 of the family's 1831-position model. Lineage: Eukaryota; Fungi; Glomeromycota. The record is from RNAcentral.